AAACCACAAGGGGAGCCGAAGCUCCCCCAGAAUAGUUGCGUGCUCUAUUUUUAUUAUUGGUUUCGGGCUUCUUGUUUUUGUUAAACGCCCUUGUCAUCUGGUUUACCCAGGAUGACCCUCCCAAUCGGGAGCCAAGAGCAAACGGAUUGCUUUGAUCGCUGAGUUGCAAUGACCUUUCGAUCCAACCAGUUCAGGCUCUGCCUUAGGGCAGUU
Molecule: non-coding RNA, 213 nt
Filed under: Pseudomonas sp. NFPP16
Lineage: Bacteria; Pseudomonadati; Pseudomonadota; Gammaproteobacteria; Pseudomonadales; Pseudomonadaceae
Also listed under: 12 other names
Source: RNAcentral